AUACGGAGGAUCCGAGCGUUAUCCGGAUUUAUUGGGUUUAAAGGGUGCGCAGGCGGCCAUUUAAGUCAGCGGUUAAAUCGUGGGGCUCAACCCCAUUCUGCCGUUGAUACUGGGUGGCUUGAUUGCGGUCGAGGUUGGCGGAAUUCGUUGUGUAGCGGUGAAAUGCAUAGAUAUGACGAAGAACACCGAUUGCGUAGGCAGCUGACCAGACCGCAAAUGACGCUCAUGCACGAAAGUGCGGGGAGCGAACAGGAUUAGAUACCCUGGUAGUCCGCACAGUAAACGAUGAAUACUUGUUUUCGGCGAUAUAAUGUCGGAGGCAAAGCGAAAGCGAUAAGUAUUCCACCUGGGGAGUACGCCGGCAACGGUGAAACUUAAAUGAAUUGACGGGG
This 392-nucleotide ribosomal RNA is filed under the name uncultured bacterium. RNAcentral's name for it is "partial 16S ribosomal RNA". It matches the Rfam family "Bacterial small subunit ribosomal RNA", at positions 523 to 918 of the family's 1533-position model. The record is from RNAcentral.